This 479-nucleotide ribosomal RNA is filed under the name uncultured bacterium. RNAcentral's name for it is "partial 16S ribosomal RNA". It matches the Rfam family "Bacterial small subunit ribosomal RNA", at positions 28 to 507 of the family's 1533-position model. The record is from RNAcentral.
GACGAACGCUGGCGGCGUGCUUAACACAUGCAAGUCGAACGAAGCUUGAUUACGGAUUCUUCGGAUGAAGUAUGAUAUGACUGAGUGGCGGACGGGUGAGUAACGCGUGAGUUACCUGCCCUUCAGAGGGGGAUAGCGUUUGGAAACGAACGGUAAUACCGCAUAAUGUAUUUUGACCGUAUGAUCGAAAUACCAAAGAUUUAUCGCCGAAGGAUGGACUCGCGUCUGAUUAGGUAGUUGGUGGGGUAACGGCCUACAAAGCCGACGAUCAGUAGCCGGACAGAGAGAGUGAUCGGACACAUUGGGACGGAGACACGGCCCAGACUCCUACGGGAGGCAGCAGUGGGGAAUAUUGCACAAUGGGCGCAAGCCUGAUGCAGCAACGCCGCGUGAAGGAAGACGGUUGUCGGAUUGUAAACUUCUGUUCUUAGUGAAGAAUAAUGACGGUAGCUAAGGAGCAAGCCACGGCUAACUACGUG